RNAcentral lists this unclassified non-coding RNA (406 nucleotides) under Potentilla miyabei. RNAcentral's name for it is "partial external transcribed spacer". The record is from RNAcentral. Lineage: Eukaryota; Viridiplantae; Streptophyta; Magnoliopsida; Rosales; Rosaceae.
UGGGUUGGCGGGCUCCGUGCUACGGCAUCGAACCGUCCGCGCGCACUCCGCGUCAAUGAUGCAUCAAGAGCUUUCUUGUGCUUCGAAAGGAUUCCUGUGUGUGCUACCUAUUGUAAUGGUAUGGCGUCUCUCGUUGAUCCUUUCCUUCCCUGACACAUGCGGUCAGUGGGAGGACAUCGUAGCAGUGCCCGUGCCCCCCGCGUUGUGUGCGCCUGGUGACGUUCACCUUGCGACGGUUCACGGGUUGCUGCUUGAUGUCUCGGAUACGGUAUAUUCGGUGGGCUUGGGUUCGCACCCUCUAUGCCCAAAAUUCCAAGCGUUUUGUCGCUAGACAUGCACGAUUGUCAUGCUCCUUGCGGGAUCUCCCGCAAGGUGCCUGGCGUCGGCAAAGGAAUGCUACCUGGUU